This 467-nucleotide ribosomal RNA is filed under the name uncultured bacterium. Its description in RNAcentral is "partial 16S ribosomal RNA". It matches the Rfam family "Bacterial small subunit ribosomal RNA", at positions 28 to 507 of the family's 1533-position model. The record is from RNAcentral.
GACGAACGCUGGCGGCGUGCUUAACACAUGCAAGUCGAACGGAAAGGCCUCUUUCGGGGGGUACUCGAGUGGCGAACGGGUGAGUAACACGUGAGUAACCUGCCCUUGACUUUGGGAUAACUUCAGGAAACUGGGGCUAAUACCGGAUAGGAGCUCCUGCUGCAUGGUGGGGGUUGGAAAGUUUCGGCGGUUGGGGAUGGACUCGCGGCUUAUCAGCUUGUUGGUGGGGUAGUGGCUUACCAAGGCUUUGACGGGUAGCCGGCCUGAGAGGGUGACCGGCAACAUUGGGGCGGAGUGAAGCCCCAGACCCCUAGGGGAGGAAGGAGGGGGAAAUUGUGCACAAGGGGGGGAGGCCUGAUGCAGAAAGGCCGUGGGGGGGAGGACGGCUUGGGGGUUGAAACCCGUUUUGGCACAGGACGAAGCUUGGUGUGAGGGUAGUGGGUAAAGAAACACCGGAAAACUACGUC